RNAcentral lists this ribosomal RNA (484 nucleotides) under uncultured bacterium. RNAcentral describes it as "bacterial SSU rRNA". It matches the Rfam family "Bacterial small subunit ribosomal RNA", at positions 28 to 524 of the family's 1533-position model. The record is from RNAcentral.
GACGAACGCUGGCGGCGUGCCUAACACAUGCAAGUGGAGCGACGAACCAGGGCUUGCCCUGGGGCCAAGCCGCGAACGGGUGAGUAACACGUGGGUAACCUGCCCCGAUGACUGGGACAACCCGAGGAAACUCGGGCUAAUACCGGAUGUGGUGUACACACAUCAGUGUGUUCACUAAAGGAAGCUUCGGCCUCCGCAUCGGGAUGGGCCCGCGGCCCAUUAGCUAGUUGGUGAGGUAAUGGCCCACCAAGGCGACGAUGGGUAGCUGGUCUGAGAGGACGAUCAGCCACACUGGGACUGAGACACGGCCCAGACUCCUACGGGAGGCAGCAGUGGGGAAUCUUGCGCAAUGGGGGAAACCCUGACGCAGCAUCGCCGCGUGGAGGAUGAAGGUCUUUGGAUUGUAAACUCCUUUCGAUCGGGACGAUUAUGACGGUACCGGAAGAAGAAGCACCGGCUAACUCUGUGUCAGCCGCGCGGUAAU